GUUGAUAGCCAUACCACCCUGAAUGCACCUGAUCUCAUCUCAUCUUGGAAGCUAAGCAGGGUUGGGCCUGGUUAGUACUUGAUGGGAGGAUUGUCUGUUAUCAGCU
This is a ribosomal RNA of Bison bison bison, 106 nucleotides long. NCBI's taxonomy places the organism in Eukaryota, Metazoa, Chordata, Mammalia, Artiodactyla, Bovidae. The record is from Ensembl.